AUUCGUACCUACUUCCGUAUCUAAAUUCUAAUUUCGGGAAGAAAUUCCCUUCAACAGGGGGAUGAUGUGACAACCCGAAAUUUCCAUUCUGAACAAACCAUAUCAAGCCAAUAGAAGUAGAACAGUUACAGUGAAAAUCCAGACUUCGAGUAUAAGUUUGGCAGUUUUCAGGAUUUACACCUAAGGAGAUAUUAAGAGAGUGGAUGCACUAGGGUUUUGUGCAACACUUUAUUCCAAUACUUUAGGAUAUUAGAGUUCAUUCCGGGAAUAAAAAUAUUUUUUGCCAAAAAUCCCAGGACUAUAUAUAGAAAACUGAACCAAAUAGUUCAUUACUUACAUUUCCAUUUAGAGAAAAGCCAAAAUUCUCUCUCACGGAUUUUUGGG
Molecule: long non-coding RNA, 384 nt
Filed under: Lactuca sativa (garden lettuce)
Lineage: Eukaryota; Viridiplantae; Streptophyta; Magnoliopsida; Asterales; Asteraceae
Description: long non-coding RNA (LSAT_LNC000165)
Source: RNAcentral